This 256-nucleotide long non-coding RNA is filed under the name Panax ginseng (ginseng). RNAcentral describes it as "long non-coding RNA (PGIN_LNC012111)". Lineage: Eukaryota; Viridiplantae; Streptophyta; Magnoliopsida; Apiales; Araliaceae. The record is from RNAcentral.
UUAUGAUUAUUUUCAACAGAAUAUCUUUGGAACGUUGCUAUUGUUAUUAUCUAACGUAUACAGUUUUAUGAAGCAACGGUAAUAUCAUUUGGGGCUAUAAAAGAAAUCUGAUAUCAGUGAAAUAGAUACAACACUUGAAUUAAUUAUUGCACUUACAUACUGAAAAAGUUAUUUGAUAUUUUGGUGCAAUUGAAAUUUGCUGCUGUGCUACUAUAACUCUACUUAUAUUCAGCGUAAUUUCGUGGGCUAUAAAUCG